Non-coding RNA from Oryza sativa Japonica Group (Japanese rice), 774 nucleotides. Lineage: Eukaryota; Viridiplantae; Streptophyta; Magnoliopsida; Poales; Poaceae. The record is from RefSeq and is a predicted model, not a curated record.
CAGCCCACACAAGAAAACCUAGUUUUUCAUCCCUCACGUCCCAAUCCCUCGAGCCGCCGCCGCCACCCCUCUCCUCCUUCUGCAGUCCCCAUCGCCACUCGCGAGUAGAUCCAGCGCCGGCGCCGGUGCUUUGACGAAUGGAGACCACGCCGCCGCCUUGUGCCAUCGAUGAGCCAUCUCUUCCCCGGCGGUGCCAGCCAACCCAAGUUCAGGGUCUUCAGAUCCAUAUGCCCCAUUCUCAAUGGUCACGGAUCCAGCCAUCCCGAGGCUGGGUGUUCCAGAUCCGGUGGCUCCCAUCUCCGGCGGCGCCAGGUCUAGCCUCGAGGUGAGUGGAUCUGCGGCAGUUUGUCCCCAGCAAGCCUCCUCGUCUAACAGCUGGACCAUCUAAUUUUCCUCUCUCAAGCCAUUUUGUGAAGACCUAAUACAGUGGCACCACAACAGAGUCCAUUCCAAAACUACAGAAGAACGCCAAAUUUCAACGAAGUCUUAGCUGAUUGAAAGGUGUUGAUCAAUCAGAAUUUUCGUACAAUGUUUGGUGGAUAAUUUUAUCUUGAAAGAUAAAAUAUGAAUCUUUAUAAGUGUAUCUUUAUAAAUUGUAACAUAGAUGGAGACUUGCAGUUCCUUUACCACUGGGUGGCUAUUUUCUUAGUGUUUGUAAACAGGAUUGACACAAAGUUGAAACUUUGAUAUGUAUAUCUCACUGAAGUUGAUGUAUCUGUGCACAAUUGUACUAUGAAUAUUUGAUUGAUGUAAAUAAUUAUGUAUGGAUCUAAU